GGAGGCUUUCGCCACACCUAUCCUGAAAGCGUUGCAUUCUUUAUGAUAGGUGUGACGAUGUCUUU
Molecule: microRNA precursor, 65 nt
Filed under: Human betaherpesvirus 5
Lineage: Duplodnaviria; Heunggongvirae; Peploviricota; Herviviricetes; Herpesvirales; Orthoherpesviridae
Description: microRNA hcmv-mir-US5 precursor (hcmv-mir-US5-2)
Gene: hcmv-mir-US5-2
Source: miRBase by way of RNAcentral